Molecule: long non-coding RNA, 598 nt
Organism: Triticum dicoccoides
Lineage: Eukaryota; Viridiplantae; Streptophyta; Magnoliopsida; Poales; Poaceae
Exons: 3
Source: RefSeq, a predicted model, not a curated record
GGCGUCCACCCACCACCGUCCCCUACCUCUCCAGACCACAAGCGGCGAACACCCUCCUCCGGCUAAUGCCUUCCCUCGUCACCACCCAUCUCGCGAGCUUCCUCCCCGAGCAGGAUUCUUCCCCCCACAAGCUUCACCCGAGCACCAAUCGGGGCUGCCUCCUACGUCCUCUACCCCGAGCAGUGGAGCGUCGACCAUCCUCUCCUGUGAGCAUCUCUGCCUCCUCAACUUCCCGCAACCACGAGAUUUGACAGCCAUAUCAUCCAAAGGGAGAAGGAACCAUCUAAGGCGCAUCAAAUCAAGCUAGAGGUCUCUGCAUACAUUUUAGUUCAGUAGCAGCUUUUCGAAAGGUUUCCCAAAGAUACACUAGUUGAUGGAUAUUUGGAUGAUCUACAAGCUGCUGAAGGUUUGCAAGACCUGCAAUUAAGUUGGUGGAGUGAUAAUGUAAUGCGCCUUCUUUGUCGAACCUGGAGACUUUGGCAAGUUCUGCUCAUUUUGGUGCUUGUUUUGGCACAUAGGCCACUGUAUGCUCAUUCUGGUUGUGUGACACAUCUAGAAACAUAUAUACUUCUCCCUUUGUAGCACUACAUUGUAGUUG